This 285-nucleotide ribosomal RNA is filed under the name uncultured bacterium. RNAcentral describes it as "partial 16S ribosomal RNA". It matches the Rfam family "Bacterial small subunit ribosomal RNA", at positions 339 to 642 of the family's 1533-position model. The record is from RNAcentral.
CUAGUGGCGCAGCAGUGGGGAAUAUUGCGCAAUGGGGGAAACCCUGAUGCAGCAACGCCGCGUGAGUGAAGAAGUCAUUCGUGAUGUAAAGCUCUAUCAGCAGGGAAGAAGAUGACGGUACCUGAGUAAGAAGCCCCGGCUAACUACGUGCCAGCAGCCGCGGUAAUACGUAGGGGGCAAGCGUUAUCCGGAUUUACUGGGUGUAAAGGGAGCGUAGACGGUGAGACAAGUCUGAAGUGAAAGCCCGGGGCUCAACCCCGGGACUGCUUUGGAAACUGCCUGACU